This 485-nucleotide ribosomal RNA is filed under the name uncultured bacterium. Its description in RNAcentral is "partial 16S ribosomal RNA". It matches the Rfam family "Bacterial small subunit ribosomal RNA", at positions 30 to 507 of the family's 1533-position model. The record is from RNAcentral.
AUUGAACGCUGGCGGCAUGCCUUACACAUGCAAGUCGAACGGCAGCACGGGUGCUUGCACCUGGUGGCGAGUGGCGAACGGGUGAGUAAUACAUCGGAACAUGUCCUGUAGUGGGGGAUAGCCCGGCGAAAGCCGGAUUAAUACCGCAUACGAUCUACGGAUGAAAGCGGGGGACCUUCGGGCCUCGCGCUAUAGGGUUGGCCGAUGGCUGAUUAGCUAGUUGGUGGGGUAAAGGCCUACCAAGGCGACGAUCAGUAGCUGGUCUGAGAGGACGACCAGCCACACUGGGACUGAGACACGGCCCAGACUCCUACGGGAGGCAGCAGUGGGGAAUUUUGGACAAUGGGCGAAAGCCUGAUCCAGCAAUGCCGCGUGUGUGAAGAAGGCCUUCGGGUUGUAAAGCACUUUUGUCCGGAAAGAAAUCCUUGGCCCAAUACGGUCGGGGGAUGACGGUACCGGAAGAAUAAGCACCGGCUAACUACGUG